AACGAACGCUGGCGGCGUGCUUAACACAUGCAAGUCGAACGGAAAGGCCCUGCUUUUGUGCGGUGCUCGAGUGGCGAACGGGUGAGUAACCCGUGAGUAACCUGUCCCUGACUUUGGGAUAUCUUCAGGCAACUGGGGCUCUUACCGGAUAGGAGCUACUGCUGCUUGGUGGGGGUUGGUUAGUUUCGCCGGUUGGGGAUGGACUGGCGGCUUAUCAGAUUGUUGGUGGGGUAGUGUCUUACCAAGGCUUUGAAAGGUAGCAGGGCUGGGAGGAUAGCCGGCCACAUUGGGACUGAGAUACGGCCCAGACUCGUACGGGACGCAGCAGUGGAGAAUAGAGCACUAGGGGCGGAAGCCUGAUGCAGCAACGCCGCGUGCGGGGUGACGGCCUUCGGGUUGGAUAGCGCUGUCGCCUGUGACGAAGCGUUAGUGACGGUAACGGGUAAAGAAGCACCGGCUAACUACGUG
RNAcentral lists this ribosomal RNA (468 nucleotides) under uncultured bacterium. Its description in RNAcentral is "partial 16S ribosomal RNA". It matches the Rfam family "Bacterial small subunit ribosomal RNA", at positions 28 to 507 of the family's 1533-position model. The record is from RNAcentral.